CGUCAUAGAGGGUGAGAAUCCCGUCUUUGACACGGACUACCAGUGCUUUGUGAUGCGCUCUCAAAGAGUCGAGUUGUUUGGGAAUGCAGCUCAAAAUGGGUGGUGAAUUCCAUCUAAAGCUAAAUAUUGGCGAGAGACCGAUAGCGAACAAGUACCGUGAGGGAAAGAUGAAAAGCACUUUGGAAAGAGAGUUAAACAGUACGUGAAAUUGCUGAAAGGGAAACGCUUGAAGUCAGUCGCGUCGUCCGGAACUCAGCCUUGCUUUCGCUUGGUGCACUUUCCGGAUGACGGGUCAGCAUCGAUUUUGACCGUCGGAAAAGGGCUAGAGUAAUGUGGCACCUCCGGGUGUGUUAUAGACUCUGGUCGCAUACGGCGGUUGGGAUCGAGGAACGCAGCGCGCCGCAAGGCAGGGGUUCGCCCACUUUCGCGCUUAGGAUGCUGGCAUAAUGGCUUUAAACGACCCGUCUUGAAACACGGACCAAGGAGUCUAACAUACCUGCAAGUGUUUGGGUGGAAAACCCGAGCGCGUAAUGAAAGUGAAAGUUGAGAUCCCUGUCGUGGGGAGCACCGACGCCCGGACCUGACGUUCUCUGACGGAUCCGCGGUAGAGCAUGUAUGUUGGGACCCGAAAGAUGGUGAACUAUGCCUGAAUAGGGUGAAGCCAGAGGAAACUCUGGUGGAGGCUCGUAGCGAUUCUGACGUGCAAAUCGAUCGUCAAAUUUGGGUAUAGGGGCGAAAGACUAAUCGAACCAUCUAGUAGCUGGUUCCU
RNAcentral lists this ribosomal RNA (769 nucleotides) under Ganoderma mizoramense. RNAcentral's name for it is "LSU rRNA". It matches the Rfam family "Eukaryotic large subunit ribosomal RNA", at positions 201 to 959 of the family's 3401-position model. The record is from RNAcentral. Lineage: Eukaryota; Fungi; Basidiomycota; Agaricomycetes; Polyporales; Polyporaceae.